CCUACGGGUGGCAGCAGUGGGGAAUAUUGGACAAUGGGGGGAACCCUGAUCCAGCCAUGCCGCGUGUGUGAAGAAGGCCCUCGGGUUGUAAAGCACUUUCAGUGAGGAAGAACGCCUGGUGGUUAAUACCCAUCAGGAAAGACAUCACUCACAGAAGAAGCACCGGCUAACUCCGUGCCAGCAGCCGCGGUAAUACGGAGGGUGCGAGCGUUAAUCGGAAUUACUGGGCGUAAAGCGCGCGUAGGUGGCUUGAUAAGCCGGUUGUGAAAGCCCCGGGCUCAACCUGGGAACGGCAUCCGGAACUGUCAAGCUAGAGUGCAGGAGAGGAAGGUAGAAUUCCCGGUGUAGCGGUGAAAUGCGUAGAGAUCGGGAGGAAUACCAGUGGCGAAGGCGGCCUUCUGGACUGACACUGACACUGAGGUGCGAAAGCGUGGGUAGCAAACAGGAUUAGAUACCCGUGUAGAC
RNAcentral lists this ribosomal RNA (465 nucleotides) under Vreelandella stevensii. RNAcentral describes it as "partial 16S ribosomal RNA". It matches the Rfam family "Bacterial small subunit ribosomal RNA", at positions 338 to 795 of the family's 1533-position model. The record is from RNAcentral. Lineage: Bacteria; Pseudomonadati; Pseudomonadota; Gammaproteobacteria; Oceanospirillales; Halomonadaceae.